GAGCGCUUAAUGUCUGUGUCUGAUGUUAUAUAGCUAGCUUCCAGACUCUCAUGAAGUCAUAGAGCAUCCGAUGGAUUUCGGAACCGUGCAGAACAAGCUGUACAGCUGAGCAUACACUAACCUGGAACAGUUUGAGGUCGGUCCUCAUUUGGAAUAUACAUGACACAGGCGCAAGUAGUUCGUUUGGUGGUGGUGCAGAUGCUGGUACGAUUCUUCAUCAACACAUGGGAAUGCAAUCGACUGUUCUCUGCGGAUCAAGCCAAUGUCAAAUGAGCAAAGAAGACAAGAAGUGUAACUCUCGAGUCUACAGACAAAUGUGAGAAGAUGACGGAAUUCGUGCCUUACUUAUCACCACAAGCCUUUUGGCGUCGCGUAUCGAACUC
Musa acuminata AAA Group (dessert banana) is the source of this 383-nucleotide long non-coding RNA. RefSeq lists it as uncharacterized. The record is from RefSeq and is a predicted model, not a curated record. The transcript has 3 exons. Lineage: Eukaryota; Viridiplantae; Streptophyta; Magnoliopsida; Zingiberales; Musaceae.